RNAcentral lists this transfer RNA (67 nucleotides) under Orestia punctipennis. RNAcentral describes it as "tRNA-Tyr". Lineage: Eukaryota; Metazoa; Arthropoda; Insecta; Coleoptera; Chrysomelidae. The record is from RNAcentral.
AGGGAAAUGGCUGAGAAUUAGGCGAUAAAUUGUAAAUUUAUUUACGAAUAGCAAUAUUCUUUUUCUA